This is a non-coding RNA of Oryctolagus cuniculus (rabbit), 15337 nucleotides long. The record is from RefSeq and is a predicted model, not a curated record. NCBI's taxonomy places the organism in Eukaryota, Metazoa, Chordata, Mammalia, Lagomorpha, Leporidae.
CUCUCUCUAACCCUCUCUAACUCUGCCUUUCAUAUAAAUAAAUCUUUAAAAUAUAAUUUUAUUUUGGUGCAAAAAGAAGUUAGAAUCCAUGCAUAUGAAGGAUCUUCAAAAAGUCUAUGGAAAAAUGUGUAUUAUGAAAAAAACUGAACAGAUUUAAACAUUCUUUGCACCAAAAUAACUUAUCUUUUAAUAACAUUAUCCAUGAAUUUUUGAAGUACUCUCUUAUAGUACAACAUUUGUUCUCUGCUCUGGAGAUUUAAGAAUUUCAUUGUAAGGGUGGGCAUUUGGCACAGUGGUUAAUACAUCACUUUGGAUGCUUGCAUCCCAUAUUGGAGUACCUGAGUUUGAGUCCUGGCUCUGUUUCUGAUUCCAGCUUCCUGCUAAUGUGCACCCUGUGAGGCAAAAGGUGAUGGUUCAAAUAGUUGGGUCCCUGUCACCCCUAAGUUUCUGGCUCCUGACUUCAACUUGGCUCAGCUUCAGCUGUUGUGGGCAUUUCGGGGGCAGACUAGAGGAUAGAAGAAUUUCUCUGUCUCCUUCAAAUAAAUUUUUAAAAAUUAAGGAAAAGAAUCUUGUUAUAGACACAUCACUUUAUUAGAUAUUGCUGUCCAUAAGGUUUAAUUCAGGUACCACUAUGGCUAACCCUGUUCUCAGUUUUUGUAUUACCCUCCAGUUAACUAAUUUGGAUAAAAAAUUUCUUGUGCAUUUGAAAUACACAUAAAUACAUGCUAUCCCCUUCCUGGGUCCCAAUUAAACAACACCAGAAAAUUGGGCUAAUUAUGUGGGAAGUUUUUCAAUCCAAGUAGUACAGACACAAAUAUUUACUUCAAAAUAUUCCUCUAUUUCCAAAUGUAAUAUUAUUUCCAUGAAUUUCUCUCAUGUGUCACUUGGCCUUGAAUUACAUGAAAGAAAAUGAAGAAGGUGGGUGGUAGAGACUCAUGUCUACAGCAGUAAAUUCUUCUAAGCAUCAAACUAGCGUUUCACCUUGGGACCCUAAUUAAAGUCACCUUCUAUCAUUUUCAGUGUGUACCUCAGAGAAAUAGGCAUUUAAACAAAACUGACACAAGCUGACAGCCUUAUUAACUGCCAGCAUCAAGCCUGAUGACCCCAACCCAGAAUCCUCUCUCAAUCUGCUGCUGCAUACAAAUAAACCUCCUGGCCUGCGGUUGACCAGAUAGCUAUAGAGGGAGGAGAAGGGAAAUUGAAAUCAAGGUUUUGUAGUAAAUUUGCCUCUUCCUAAGCCCAUGAGAGUAAGUCAGAUUCCUCCCCAUCAAGCAUUAGUUGUAGCCAGCUGUGCACAUUGCUCUGUCAUUGUUGAAGUGGUAUCAAACUGUUAUCCCUCAUUUUGACUCCUGUUCAUGCAUUCAGGUAUUUACCACUAAAAAUUAUGCAAGGCCUUUUAUUCAGGACUUUUACAACAGGUGUCAAUGGAUGAGAGAUUGGGCUCAACUCUGAAUAUGGGGAUUUCCAGGCAGCAACCACAGGAAGAGGAUCAGGAAGCACAAAAUUGCCAAGAGGAGUUCAAGGGUAGGGGACUCCUGUUCAUCUGACUUCACAGGCUUCCUGCUGAAGGCCAGCCAGCGUGAUUAGAUGUCAAGGGAGACUGAGCUGCCACAGCAAUGCUGAAGUCGAUUUGAUAACAGUAUCUCGGACUCUCGGACAACAGCACAGUUCCCUGGGAAACUUGGUUUUUGGCUUGACUUUAUCAUGAAGAGGACAUAGCAGGAUAUUCUAUACAAAGUUAUAGACGCCCAUAUGGGAUGCCAGCGCUGCAGGCGGAGGAUUAACCAAGUGAGCCACGGUGCCGGCCCCAAGAAGCUCUUUUUUCCACUAGCGUUUCUCAAGGAAAAUAUGUUUGAACUAUACCAGGCCAGCUCCCUCUAGAGUCUCACUGGUGGCCCCCCAGACUCACAUAGAUGAUGAACCUAAAGCCCAGAAAAAGGAGAGGAAAGUGGAUGCCACAGGCUGACCCAAAGCAGGAGGCUCAAGAAGGCAUCUUCCAAGUUGACCAUGUCCAGGUGGUCCCCAAGUGUCCAGGUCUCCUCCUCCCACACCAGGGUGGAGACUUCCCCUCUUCUCUCACCUCUCCUCUCACCCUCUGUGUGUGGUGCUGUGGGGUGUGCAGCCACCCAGGUCAGCAAGUCAGUCUGUCAUUCACGUUUGAGACUUGGAGCAUUCCUUUAGCUAUGGAGCCCCAGUUUCCCCUUUUCUAACCACAAUGCAUGUAGAAAGUAUCUUAUGGGUGUCUUCCACUAAAAUGGGGAAGUAAACUGGAAAAAACUGGGGUCCAGAGAUCUGGAGAUCCAAAGGAAAAGCACAGCAAAUGGGGUCUCCAGGGUGGCUAAAGAGGGUGCAGGAUGACAAGUGGGCACAAGGGCAGCCAGUCCAGCCUGGAACACAAGCCUCAGAGACAGGAGUGGCAGGCAAGGGGUGGGCCAGCAGGGAGGUGGGGGGAAAUCUAUGUCCCAGUCUCUGAAUCAGAAAGAACAACUGAAGGAUGAGCUCCUGCAAAACAAGGGAGUAAACCAAGGAAGAGGAAGAUAUAGGAACAGGGAAGUCACAUGGGAAAAGGGUAGAAGACCACAGAUGACAGCUGCAGCAACCCAGACAGUAGCCACCCCAACAGGAAGAAACGAGACCCCAGAAGGGACUCACCAAGAGAAUCUGGAUCUGCCUGGCCUUGGGAGGGGUGGCUGCAGGGCAUGUGGGUAGUCAGGAGUUUAUUUAUAAGCAAAUGGUGGAAUAACAGAAUUACUGACUCUAAGAAAACAGUAGGGGCCGGCAUUGUGGCACAGCUGGUAAAGCCACCACCUGUGAUGCUGGCAUCCCAUAUGGGCUCCCAUUAGCACUCAGUUGCUCCACUCCCAAUCCAGCUCUCUGCUGAUGUGCCUGGAAAAAGCAGCAGAAGAUGGCCCAUGUGUUUGGGCCCAUGCCACCUACAUGGGAUACCUGGAUGAAGAUCCUGGCUCCUGGCUCCUGGCCCCUGGCUCCUGGCCCCUGGCCCCUGGCUUUGGCCUGACCCAGCUCUGGCUGUUGCAGUUAUUUGGGGAAUGAACCAGGGGAUUGAGGAUAAGUCUCCCUGUCUCUCCCUCUCUCUCUUUGUAACUUUGACUUUCAAAAUAAAUGAAUAUCUUUUUUAAAAAAAAAAAAGGAAAGAAAGCAGAAAGUAAGAAAACCAUCACAGUGCAUGAAAUUCUUACCUGCAAAUGAUGUUUGCAUCAGCAGGAUAAUGUGAACAGGGAAACUGGGUUUAUCGAAAUAUUACACUCUGGGGAAGGGCACGAGAAGAAAGGGAGAGAAUGUGAUGAUGGAUGAGAAGGAUAGGACGUCAAUAAAUAGUGGCUAAGUCGAUAAAGUGACAUGAAAACAGCAUCAGCACAUAGUUUAGAACCACGAACUUAUUGAAAUGCCAACAGGAACAACAACGAGAGCUGAAAGUAGUUGCCUCUGAAAAGGGCAAGGACAGGAAAGGGGUAUGCUGGGCACAGGGAACUGCUGUGCUUUGUGCUUCCACACUUGAAUCAUUAAGCUUUGAGUAUAUACUACUUUGAUAAAAUGCAAAUGCACAUAGGGCCAAGCAUUGUGGCACAGUGGGUUACGCUACUAUUUGCAAUGCUCGUAACCCAUAUCAGAGUGCCUGUUUGAGACCUGGCUGCUCCACUUCCAAUCCAGAUUCCUGUUAACGUGGCUGGAAAGGCAGCAGAAGAUGGCUCAAGUACUUGGGCCCCUGCCACCCAUGUGGGAGACCUAGAUGGCUCUUGGCUUCAGCCUGGUCCAGUCCUGGCUGUUGUGGCCAUUUAGGGAGAAAACCAGUGGCUGGAAAAUCUCUCCCUUCUCUGUCUAUCUGCCUUUCCCUCUCUCUCUCUGUCUCUCUUACUCUGCCUUUCAAAUAAAUAAAUACAUUUAAUAAAUAAAUAAAAACAAAAAUUGCAGUAGUGAAUAUAUUGAUAUUGUAAGUUCUGUAUAUUGCAACAAGAGUACAAAAUGUCUCAGAAUUGUACACUGCAAGAAGAUCCACUUGUGAUUUGGCUCCACUUAUGUAACAUAUUUCCAUAAAUCUACUUUUCUGGGUCACACAACAAAGAGAAGCUAAUAAAGGCAGCUUUUCUUAGCAGGAGUAUUAAGUAAAUAAUGAGAAAAUCCCAGAUACUCACAGCUCCUAUAAAGAAAGAAAUUCAUAAAAAAGUAGCAUUUCCUCACGUCCAUGAGCAUGGACAAAUGACGGGAGUAGAGGGGAGAGCAAAGAAGGGAGAAGAGAGGAGAUGAAAAGCACUUAAAAUCGUUUAAAUCCCACAUUUUAAUUCUUCCCAACCUUUUCAUCUUCUAUUUAAAUAUCUGCCCUUUCUCGAACAGAUGAAUGUUCAUUUAUUCUAAAAAAUCUUUUGUCUGCCUUUUCCAGAUUCUCUUAGGAUUCUUUCUCCAUCCAUCAGUGUCAGAAUCUUCACCCCAAUGUAGUUGACCUUUCAUGCCCCAAACAAAUUGUGGUACAAAAUCCAAAGCGGCCCUCAUCCAACAAAUACACAGGAGGCACUGCACAUAUGCUAGGCAUGACCGUAGGAGCCAAGGAUUCCAUGUGGACCACGAACAGUCUGGUUUCCACUCCGGAGCUUACAGUUCCUGGCAAAGGCAGCAGUGGCUCAACCAAACAGCUGUGACAUCACACGUGUGAGAAACGCUGGAAUCCCGGCUGAGCAGGUGCUCAGCGUGCGUGAUGCUCCGGCCAAGGAUGACAGAGCUUUCCUCGGCCAAAGAGGAGGACAGGGUGUGUGUGCCCAGGCCUGAGGCUCGUGCCAGGCGCUGAGCAUUGGUGCUGAACCCUCAUUGCUUUGGCUAAGUUCAAUGAUGUGGGGGAAGGGGGAGUGUUUAGCCUCGCCGCUGUGUCUCCUGGAGAACACAACAGCCAGGCAGGCCACGGAGGGCGGGUCUCAGGGCCGAGGGGGAUGUCAGGGCUGUGGGCCAGAGCCCUUACCGCAGCACCCAGGGCGCGGAACGCACGAGGAAGGAGGUGGUGGCUCAGGCGCGCACGCUGAACUGCCCCGAGGCGGGGCCUCGGCCACUUCCUGUCCACGUGACGGUCGCCACUAAAGGUUUGGCGUCCUCUCCAGUCCGCCUAACGCUCUGGCGUGGGCCCGGGAUUAUGUGGGAACGGCAAUUACGUGGACCAUUGUGUACAUGGGACGGUAUCGACUGACAGGAAUCAAAAGAGCGAGGAGGAGCAGGAGAGGCGGCCAGGCCAGCCCACCGCGUGCGCGGGGAUGCGGCCCCGGGGCCUCUCUGAAGAGGAGCCCGCGGAGAGGGAGGCAGCCGGACAUUUUGCAGUUCGAAAGGGACAGUCCGGCAGCCGUGGAGAGAGGGGCUGGAGGGUUGAACGAGGCAGCUGAGGAGGCUUUGAAGCAGUCAGCGAGAGAGAGAAUAGCACCCCUACACCAGGAGGGGUCAACAGUCCAAGGCGACAGCUCCGAGAGAGGACCGAGUGUCCAUGCCUGUGUGCGCAGCCCCUCCUGAAGCCUUGCAGGACCUUUCGGGGCCCAGCCGCUGCCUUUGGGAGGUGAGGAGACACACAGAGUGGCCAGCAGGGGAUGGCCUUCCGCACGCUCCUCCCAGGCCCGGGAUUCCCGACACCUCUGUGACACUGGGGCGCUGCUUGCCGUCUCUGACUCCUAAGACAACCAACUCUCUGGACGGGUCAGUGGAGGUGGUGACCAGGUUCGCGCAGCUGGUUGAAACUGGCCGGCCUCCCUCCAAACUUGUGAAUUUUUCCUGCUUCCUGUGAAGGUGAGUAGUGAUCAGAUACAGUAAGCAGAAAUUUCUGUCGGAGGAAAAGUUGGCUAGUAAGGGUGAGAUUCCCCGGGGAAGCCUGAAAGGAGCUGAAGCAAUGAAGUAAUCAUAUUAAAAAAAAAAAAAAAAAAAUCCUGGGAUAGUUGCAUACGAUAAACGCACAGGUUUUUUCUUUUUUGUUUUAAAGAUUUAUUUAUUUAUUUGAAAGGCAGAGUUACAGAGAGGCAGAGGCAGAGAGAGAAAGAGAGAGAGAGAGAGAAUCAGAAUCAGCCGGUAUUCCAUCCACUGGUUCACUCCCCAAAAGGCUCAAUGGCCAGGGCUGAGCUGAUUCAAAGCCAGGAGCCAGGAGCUUCUUCUGGGUCUCCCACAUGAAUGCAGAGGCCAAAGCACUUGGGCCAUCUUCCACUGCUUUCUCAGGCCAUAGGAAGGAGCUGGAUUGGAAGAGGAGCAGCCGGGACUCGAACCAGCACCCAUGUGGGAUGCUGGCACUGCAGGCAGCAGCUUCAUGUUACAACACAGUGCUGGCCCCAACACACAAGUCGUAAAAGUACAGUUCAAUAAGCUCUGAAAAUAGAAGGUACCCAUGCACUUAGCACCUUGAUACAGAACAUUUCUCUCAUUUUAAAAAGUUCCCUUCUGGCCACUUCCAGGAUGUCCUCUUCCCCCACCCAGAGGCAGCCUCUCUUUUGGUUUUUUCUUCUUUCUUUCUUUUCUUUUUUUUACUUAUUUUAUUUUUUUAAUUAGUAAGGCAGGCUGGGGACACACACAUCCUUCAACUGCUGGCUUGCUACACAAUCUGACAGAUCUCUCACAUGGGAGGCAGGAGCUGAGCACUUGAACCAUCUUCCACUGCUUUCCCAGGCCAUGAAGAGGGUGCACGAUUGAAAGUGGAGCAACUUGGACUUGAACCUGAGCUCACAUGGGUUGCAAGCAUGUAACCCACUGCACUAGUAUGCUGGACCCAUUUCUUUUGAUUUCUGUUCCCAUGGAUUAGUGUUGAUUAUUGUUGGGCUUAAUAAAAAUGGAAUCCCAUGGUAUGUGUUCCUAUGUGUCUGGACAAGUGGGACAUUUCUGAGAUUCAUCCACACUAUGUCUGCAUUGGGAGCUUGCUCCAUCCUUUUGCUGAGUGGUAGCCACUUUUAAGUGGAUGAUUACUAUGGUUUCUCAGGCUUUGCCACAUUAUAAGUAAUAUCUUACGGAUUGAAAGUAUAUAUUUUAAAAUUUAAAUUUCAUGGGUUUGCUGUGAUCUUGUUUCUCUUAUACAACAAGGGCGUUAGAACUGAGAGCGAAAAUAUCUCUUUUUCCAAGUCACACAUCAAUAAACUGACAGCGUCCAAGACCAGAAUUUCUGACAGUAAUUGGUGGAUUCUGCUCCCAGUGUUGAUAAUUAAGGCCAUCUGCUUCCAAGUGUCAUCUCAGAGGGAAACGAAAUCCCCAUGGCAAGCUCAAAAACAGCAUCAGGUUUUUGGAGACAAUCCCACCAAGGUCAAGGGUCGGCGCUGUGGCACAGUGGGUUAAAGCCCUGGCCUGAAGCGCCGGCAUCCCAUAUGCGCACCGGUUCUACUUUCUGCUCCUCUUCUGAUCCAGCUCUCUGCUAUGGCCUGGGAAAGCAGUGGAAGAUGGCCCAAGUCCUUGGGCCCCUGUAACCACAGGGAGACCCGGAAGAAACUCCUGGCUCCUGACUUUGGAUCAGCGCAGCUCCAGCCAUUACGGCCAUGUGGGGAGUGAACCAGUGGAUGGAAGACCUCUCUCUCUGUCUUCACCUCCUUCUGUAACUCUUUCAAAUAAAUAAAAAUAAAUCUUUAAAAAAAUCUUUAUUGUUACAUUAUAAACAUUCUUUGCAUAUUUUAACACAAGUCCAUAUCAGAUAUCAUUCUAAAAUAUUCUUCCAUUCUAUAAAUUCUGUUCAUUUUUAAAUUAUAUUUAUUGAAGCACAAAUUUUUUGCUUUUGAUGAAAUCCCAUGUAUCUACUUCUCUCUUUUGUUGCUUGGAAGUUUUUGUGUCAUCUCUAAAAACUAUUGCUUAAUUCAAGGUAACAAGAUUGACUCUGGAGUUUUCUUCUAAAAAUUUUACUUCUUACACGUAGGUCUAUGAUUCAUUUUGAAUUAAUUUUUAAAAAUGCUUAUUUUUUAUUUGAAAGGCAGAAUUACAUAUAUAUAUAGAGAGAGAGACAGAAAGAGAGAAAUCUUCUCUGCUGAUUUACCCUCCAACUGGCCACAAUAGCUAAACCCCGGCCAGGCUGAAGACACAUGGGUGGCAGGGGCCCAAGUACAUGGGUCAUCUUCCAUUACUUUCCCAGGAAUGUAGUAGAAAGUUGUAUUGAAAGUGGGUCAGCUGGGACUCAAACCAGCAUUCAUACGGGAUGCUGGCAUCACAGCUGGUGGCAUAACCUGUUAAUGCCACAAUGCCAGCACCUUGAUUUAAUUGUUGUAUAUAAUGUGAAGCAGCAGUCAAACCUUUUGUACAUGUAUGGAUAUCCAGUUAUCCCACCACCAUUUUUUGAAAAGCCUAUUGUUUCCCAUUGAGGUGUUUUUGAACUUUUGUCAAAAAUCAAUUGAUUUGGACCAUUUCUGUGACACAGCAGAAAAGCUGCAACCUACAGUGCUUGCAUUCCAUAUGGGCGCUGAUUCAAGCCCUGGCUGCUCCACUUCCAAUCCAGCUCUCUGCUAUGGCCUGGGAAAGCAGUAGAAGAUGGCCCAAGCGCCUGGGGCCCUCCACCCACAUGGGAGACCCGGAAGAAGCUCCUGGCACCUGGUUUUGGAUCAGUGUAGCUUGAGCUAUUAUAGCCAUCUGGGAAGUAAACCAACAGAUGGAAGACCUCUCUCUGCCUCUCUUCUGUAACUCUGCUUUUCAAAUAAAUACAUCUUUAAAAACAAAAAAGGAAUUAUCUAACAAUGAAUUAUUUUUAAAAAUGUAUCAUAAAUGUACGGCUUCAUUUCUUUAUUAAGAUUUAUUUACUUAAUUGAAAGUCAGAAUUACAAAGAGAGAGAGACAGAGACAGAGAUCUUCCAUCUGCUGGUUCACUCCCUAAAUGGCCACAAUGGUGGGAGCUGGGCUAGGCUGAAGCCAGGAGCCAGGAGCCAGAAGCCAGGAGCUUCAUCUGGGUCUCCCACAUGAGUGGCAGGGGCCCAAGAUCCUGGACCAUCCUCCGCUGCUUUCCCAGGCCAUUAGCAGAGAGCUGAUUUUGGAAGUGGAGCAGCUGGGACUUGAACUGGCAUCCACAUGGGAUGCCAGCUCUGCAGACGGCUGCUUAACCUGCUGUGCCACAGCACUGGCCCCAGAGUUUCAUUUCUAAAAUCCCUAUUCAAUUCCACUGACCUAUAUGUCUCUUCUUAGUCUAGGCCUGUAAUGUAUUGGUUACUGGUGCUUUAAAGUAAGUUUUGGAAUCAAAAUAUGAGAGUCCUUCAAUUUUGUUCUUCUUUUUCAAGAUUGUUUUGACUAUUUCGAGUCUUAAAAAUUUCCAUAAAGAUUUUCGGAUCAAGUUGUCAAUUUGCAAAGUAAGGCAGCUGGGAUUUUGAUAGGUCAUGUUAAAUUUGUGGAUCAAUUUAGAAAGUAUUGCCAUUUUAAUAAUAUCAUGUUUUUUAAUCCAUGAACAUAGGUGCCUUUCCUCUUUCUUAAGAGGAUUUCUUAAGGUAUUCUUUGAAAUUUUUUAAAUGGUUUUAUAGUUAUCAUGUACCUGUCUUAACUUCUAAAACUUACGGAUAAGGGUUAGAUGCUUAGUCUAGCAGUUAAGACAUUGGGUAAGAGAACUAUCUCCCACAUCAGAGUAUCUGGGAUUGAUUCCCAAGUCUGGCUCCUGACUCCAGCUUCCUUCUACUUUAGACCCUGAGAGGCAUCAGUGAUGGCUGUAUUCCUAUCACCCAUGUGGGAGACUUAGAUAGCAUUCCUGGCUCCUGGUAUUGGCCAGUCAUCUACUAGUGAGCUAGUAGAUAGGGACUCUCAAAUGAAUAAAUUUUUUAAAUCAUUAAUCAAAUUUUAUUUAUAAAUUUUUAUUACUUUUGAUGUUAUUGCGAAUUGAACUGUUUAAUUUUCUUUGCAGUUUUUCAGUUGCUGGCAUGUAGAAAUUCAGUUGAUUUUUAUAUAUUCAUCUUGCAUCCUACAUAAUUACUACAUUUGUUGGAAGGCAUUGAAUGCACUUAAGUGCAUUUCCCUGCUUGUAAAAUUUCUCUCCAUAAGAAGUAAUGUGUGGUUUAAAAAAAUAAGCAGGGCUAGUUAUUCUUAGAAUGUGACUGUUUUAAUAACUGAAAAUACUACAGGUUAGUGUAACAGGACUACUGUAUCCUUAAGCAGGGUCCCGCUCAGAGAGAAAGGUGUGGUAGUGUUCAACAGAGCAUAGCUAUUGGGAAUAAAUGGAAAAAUUAAAACAUUUGGUGUUUGACACCCCGAAGAGUUAAGACAAGUCACUACAUCAGUAACUAUGGUGAGAGAGGAUGGCGUGGGCUGUAACUUGUGUUACCCUGACAUUUACUGUCAGAGCAGUCUUGCAAACAAAACGGCACUUGUUUCUGUUUCUGAAAGAAUCCCGUGUCUUUGUCAAAUGCUCACUGAAUUUCAGGCAUGUCGUGAUCAAUGAGCACCCAAAUGCCCCAUCCUUGGGGUUGGCGUUUCCCUCUGUUGUUCACGUCUGGACCCAGCUGAGGGUAAGCAGGGCUCUCUGCUGUCUCAGAAAUCCCCUCCCAGCAGCAGAGCAUCUGCUGUCUGGGACAUACCAAGAAAAGCCUCAGUUGUCAGCCAAGAGAUAAGGCUCAGCUUGGGGACAACUUCUUGUGAAAGUGUAACAAUGCCUGGCAAGUUUCCCUAGCUCCUGGGGCAGGCAGGCCCGUCCCUGGCAGAAGUAAAGCAAUUUCUACCACUGGAGAGUUCGUGCCAGGAAUAAACCUAAGGAACACUUGUGUGCUACCUGCCAAGAUUCCCCAUAACUUCCAGAGUUCACAAGGACAGUUUCAGAACCAAAGCCUCCUGAAGACAUUGGUCUUUGAGCUUUUUAUACCCCACAAAUGAUGUUAUAAAUAUCCAAAUGGCCUUUGCCAGAAAGAAAGUUCGCCACCCCUGAACUCUAGUAGUUGACACCGGCAUCCCAUAUUGGUGUACCUGGAUUCAAUUCCCAGCUCCAGUCCUGACUCCACCUUCCUGUUAAUGCAGACUCUGGGAGGGAGCAUUGAUGGCUCAAGUACCUGGGUCCCUGCCACCCGUGUGGGAGACCUGGAUUGUGUUCUAGCUCCCAAUCUUGGUUCUGGUCAUAGGGCUGUUGUGGGCAUUUGAAAAGUGAACCAAUGAAUGGUAGUGCUCUCUUUUUUUCUCCCUCUUCUCACUGACAGAAUGAUUCAACUCCAAAGCUUCUAGGUAUCACCAGACCCUGGUUUGAGAAAACCCUGAGUGAAAUUCACCCACAUUCUUUAAAGACAGUGUGCUUCUCUUUAGUAUCUUUGUUUGAGCUGCUAUCAUGGAAAUAAUCUAGAUGUCCCUGAGAUGAUUCUAAAUAAUCACCUUUCAAGUGCACGCUGUAAAAAGUGGUAUUAACAUUUGCUGAGUGACAGCUCCACGCACUGCUCUGAAACAUUUACACACCAACCUCAAGUUAAUUAAAUUUGUUAGGAAGAAUUUUAAAAAUCACUUUGCCUCCCAAAUCAAUUCAAUACAUUGUGUUCAUUAAACAGAUAAGGAAAACAUCAUUCAUAUACAAUAAUACUUCAAAAAAUUUGUAAAGAUGGGAUUAAAAGUAUGAGUUUAUUUUGACUCAAAAAAUUCAUACAACUCUUUUCCAGUGUGUGGAAAACGUAUAUUGUGAAAAAAAAAAAAAAACUAUGCAUGAAUUUCAAAAAAGUUUUGGCAUCAAAGUAAACUCACUUUUAAUUCCAUUUUUCCACACACUUUUUAAAAUACUCCCAUAUAUAUUUUUUUCUCCAAUUUGCUUUCCUAACAUUGUUCUGAGCUUUCCUUUUCCAAAGUGACCGUAAAGGCAUCACAACCCACUAUCACAGUUCUGUCCUUCUGAUUUUCCCACUGUAGGACUAGAGAAACAAAGUCUCAAUCUGUCAUCUCUACUCUAUUAGGAACGACUUUGGCUCAGCCUUGAGUCUGAGACAUCACAUAUCAAUUGCACAGCACUGGGCUGGCAUUUGUUUCUGCCAGCAACAAUGCACACAGAUCCAGAGAACUGCUCUUCUGGAUGUAACUGCAAGAAAAUACAAGCUCUCUCGUUGUGGGGGUCUGAGGCUUAGGAAGCUAGAUCUAAAAGCUGCCCGGGAGUGCAUGGUCCCCAAAGCGCAUCUAUCAUAAUGUGCAGGCACCAAGAGAAUGUCUCUCUCUCUCUCUCUCUCUCUCUUGCUUUCACUCUCGUUCUCUUAGUCUCAUAAAUAAUAAAUAAAGAGCAAAAUAUAAAAAUUUUUAAAAGUUUCCAGGAAAGUGAAACCUGAAAGUUUAUUUUGGUACAACAGCUUUUUGAAAUCCAAGCAUACUUCAAAGUGUCUUCAAAGUGUUCAUGUCAAAUGUGCAUCAUGGAAAAACUCAUCCUGGAUUUCAAAAAUGUGACCGGGGGGGGGGGCAUCAAAAUAAGUAGAUGUUAGCUCCAUGUUUUUAAUAAAAGUUCUAGGAGGCCCUCAUCCUGAUACCCACCAGGACAGACCAUAGAUAGACACCACUACACAGCUUAGAACCACAGAGAGUGGGAGCAUGUUGAACCCUGAGAACAGCUGGUCCUGUCCACCACAGCCUCUGGGGAAGGCUGGGUACCUCCAAAUGAGCGGGCAUCAUCCUGAGGAUGCCUGGUGCCAACAUAAGGUGCCCUGUGCUUCAGAGUCGGCUUCAGGCUUUCCCAGCUUCAAACAGCUACACGCAGACUGGCUUGCUUUAAAAUACCACUUAGCAGGGCCAGUGUUGUAGCAUAGCCAGGAAAGCCACAGUCUGUGACACUGGGAACAUACACAGAUGCUGGUUCAUAUCCCAGCUGCUCCACUUCUAAUCCAACUCCCUGCUCAUGGCCUGAGAAAAGCAGUAGAAGAUGGCCCAAGUGUUUGACUUCUGGCUCCUGGCUUUGGCCUGGCUCCGUCCUGGCCGUUGCAGCCACCUGGCAAGUGAACCAGCAGAUGGAAGAUCUUUCUCUUUCUCUGUCUCUCUCUUUCUCCCUGACCUUCUCUGACCUUUCUGACUUUCAAAAUAAAUAAAUAAGUCUCUUUAAAAAUUAGAAAAUAAAAUGCCACUUAGCUAAAGCAAAGACCUCAACGUGCAGCUUAUAGAACUUUCCCACUAUGUAGGAAUGGGAUCCAUAUAUAUGCAUCACAGAUUUGUAGCAGAUAAAUGAGUCUGUGUAAACAGGUACCUAAGAAAAUUCUUAGCAAAUGCGUGUUGUGAAGAAAAAAAAAACAACUGUGCAUGGAUUUCAAAAUGUUUUUGUGCUAAAAUAAAGGUUCAAUUUCAUUUUUUUCACAAACUUUUUAAAGUGCCCUCAUAGAUAUAAAUGCUUAUCUUAAAAAUUCCUAAAUAGAAAAAUAUUUAAGCUAUAAACACAUACAUUUACAAACAUGUGUGCUCAUAUGGACAUAUAUUUAAGGAACUUUGCAUUUCUUAUUGUAUAGUAAUUAAGUUAAUUCAGUCUGUUUAUACGAAGAGCAUAUGCAAUCCUCCAGAAUGACAUUUUUCUAGGAAUAAAACUAAUUCUUAAAUUAUCACUAAAACAACUAAGUUCACUCUUCCCCUAUGAAAAGACUGAUAUCCUUUCAGAGACGCCAAAACUACUGGCAGCCACUCCUUCUUACCAAAAGUCUACAUUAGAUAGGAGAAACUCCAAAUUUCAUAUUUCCAGCUCUGUAACAACAGCAGAUUUUGAAAUAACAGAUCCUAUUCCUGAUUGAGGUUAAGAGAUCCAGUAGCACAUACAAUAAUUAUUCUCUGGAAAUAAAAGUGCUCUUUCCUACUUCUCCAUCAUAUGAUUCAGCAACACUGAAAGGAUGGCUUAUCCUGUUAUUUAUGUUCCAUGUAUAGUGAAUAUUUUUACUAGUAGUGCAAAGUAAUACAGGUUCCACUAAAAGGAACUGGUAGCCUCAACCUAUGAAUGUUGGCAGUGCAAUGUCCAUCAUUACUAUGGUGCUAAUGUCUCACUGCUGCCACCUUGUGGGGAUCCCAGUCUCAGCAGUGUUGAUCAGAUUAUGUUAAAAUUCAGCUUAUCUCCAAAUACUUAACCCCACUUAUUGACAAGGCCUGCGCUGUUAAUGUGUGUCUAGGUGUGGUCACCCAAGAAAGAGGUCUGGUUUCCUGAAAUGGGAAGAUGGUAGGAGGGAAGGCAUCGUGUGUGCCUUGUCUGGACUGAAGACUAUCAUACCCAAUGAGUAGAUCCCAUCCUAAGAUAUCAAAAGCACUGCACAGUCUCCCCCUUUCCUUUGGCCAUGGUAAAUCUGAACACAGAGUCCACAGAAUCCAUCCCCAGGGACAGUAGUCUGCCACUCUCCUUGAUGGACCAGUUUCAGAACCACCAGCAGAUCCUAAAAUUCAUGGCUUUCAUUCAUCCCUCAAUUAUCAUAUCUAAUACAAUGUAAAUAGAAUGUAUAAAUUCCAACAAGUACAAUGUAAAUGUUAUGGAAGUUGUUGUACUGUAUUGUUUAGGAAUAAUGACGAGAAAAAAAUGCCUAUACAUGUGUGAUAAAGAUAGCUUUUUCCAAUAUUUUCCAUCUGUGGGAGGUUGAAUCCUCAGAGCUGGAAUCCACGGACACAGAGGGCAAGCUAUGCAAUUACUGAAACAAGUGGCCCCUGCCCAUCAGCCAUAAGGGGGAGUGUGCUGUACACCCUACACCUCGGCAGGAACAGAGUCUGAUCCUUGCAGGAUUGUGUCUUCCACAGCUCUCAUGACGUCAGAGUGCUUUACAGAAUUCUAUUGCCAAGUAAAUGAAUAAUAAAAAUAGUCACCAGUGCUGCUCCCUUUUCUUCCCUCUUUCAGGGCUCAUUUACCAUGAGCUCACCAGGCAAGGAUUUUGUGGCCUCCUCCAGAGGCUAACCCUGACAGUUGCCUUCUCUGUCUGGCUUCUCUUAAUUCAGUGAUGCCACAGCAGAUGUCACCCUCAGGGGUCCAGCAAGUGAUGCCUAAUUGGCCUUGUGAACCCUGGACAGUGACUGAAGGCAGCUCUCUCACCAAAGGUAAACACUGGGUAGAAUUUCCAUCACAAGAGGCCACAGCAGUGCCCUGGAAAGAAACAGAAAUGCUUCUUGAUCUCUCAAGUCAUCAUUCUCAAGGCUCACAAGACCUCAGUGACCCGAAUAAAUCCCAAGGGGGUAAGUAUGUGAGAAGGGCAGAGCUUGUUUGUUGACCUCACUCAAUCCCCUUGUCCAGUCUAGUCUCAUCCCCCUUGCAGCCACUCAACACAAACAUUCACGCACACACACAUCUCAGCUUUCUCUCUGCCUUCAAGUCAAAUGCAUUAGUCCUCAAAUGCCAAACAAAGGGUUUAUCCACAGGGAACAGAAAUUUUUGUUUAUUUACAUACAGUUACAUGAAAGGAAGACAGAAAGUUCUUUUUUUUUUAAGAUUUUUUAUUUAUUUAUUUGACAGGUGGAGUUACAGACAGACAGAGAG